UCUUCCUCAGCUUCAUGUUAAUCUUCAUGAUAAUCUUCAAGUUAAUUUUUUUUUAAAUGUUCAUGAACAAGUUUUCUAAUCUAUUGUUACAUCUCUGUGUCAUCAUGACUUCAUGAUCUCGUUCAACUCAUGUAUUGAAUGAUCUUCAAUUAAUUGAAAGACAAAAGUUGCACAUUCUAAUUGGAUUAACAUUGAACAUCAACACCUACGAUCACAUGUUAUCAUUGGUAAAUUUGAUUCUCUUUGUUAUUGUUCAAUUUAAUGGAUUAAUCAUCUUAACCACUUUUAUUGGAAUCGAUUACAAUUUAAUUGUAGUUUAAUGUUUACUUUAUUGUUUUCACUUCAAGGAUCAACUUGUUUAAAGUAAAACAAAUCUUAGGCCUUUAAUUGUGUUCAACUUGAUCUUGAUUCUGUUCAAUGGGUGUUUCCUGACUUUCUUCAAUUAAGUAGGAAUAUAUAUUUAUCUCAUCUGAUUGUAUUACAAUUAGAUUGCUGUUUAAUUGUUCGUUGACCACUAAGCCAUCAAGUGAAACUAUCAAUUGAAUCAAUUAUUGAGGAGGAGUGAUGGAUAAUAACAAACCGUUGACCAUAACCAGAUACAUAAUCAAAUCAUUUACAAAGGAUUAUCAUUGAUUGUUGAAGAUCAUUUAUUAGUAUUUGUAACUGUCAUUCUGGAAUUGACCUUGAAAAGGAUAAUUUAAUGAGAAUUGAAUCUUAUUAAAGAUUAGUUAAUAUACAUAAGAAGAAAAAAGAAAUACUAAUCAAAAGGUGACCCACAAAUUGGAAAAACAUUUAAAGGGAAAACUAUUAAUUGUUUAUGAAGAGACUAGAAGGAGAAAACAAAUGAGAAUUGAUUAAUCAGUUGAUUAACAAUCAACAGCAGCAACAACAUGAAACCUUAAACAAUUUAAAUUACAAGUGAUGCUGAUCAAGUUAAAGGGUUAACUGAUUUAAAGCUUAAUCAUAUUGUUAUUAUUGUUUCCAUCAUGAUGAUAUUAAUCAUUAUCUAAGAUCUUAUUUGAUUAUUGGAAAUGAUCAUCUAGGCCGUUGGCUGUUGAUCAAUUGAAUUGAUUGUAUUGAUUAAGGAAGGGAAAAGAUAUAACAAUUAACAAUUAAUAUUGAUAUUAAUCAAUUAAUGUUUCCCAUUUCCGCCGGCACGGAUAGAUAGACAAACAAUACGGAAAACAAAUGUUAACAAUUUAAAUUGAAAGUUUUUCAUUUUAAGUAUUGAUGACAAUUUGAUAAAUUGUUGAAAAUGAUUAGCUGAUGAUUAUCAAGAUUAACGAUUGGAAAUGUUAUUUAUCUUAAAUUGUUUUCAAAUAUUAACAUUUAACUGGCCAAAUGAUUUGAGUGACUUGUCAAAUUUAAUCAAAACUAAUUAGUGUUAAUCUGUUAACAGUAACAAUUUGACACAGUAGUUAAUCAAGUCACGAGUCGCCAUCAUCAUUAAUCAUCACUAUCGUUAUACCAACAAGUUGAUUGUUAACUUGUCAUUUGUAAUUAACUUUUACAAUCAAAUGAAACGAAAUGAAUACUACAGUUAUCACAAGGAAAAUUAUCAAUCAAAAGAGAAACGAUUAAAUAACUAAUAUUACUUGAAUCGUAACAAUUAAAACAUUAAAGGAGCAAUUUAAAUCAACAACAAUCAACAAUCAACAAUUUAACCUUGUUAGGGGUUACCCUGACCAUUGAAUAUCAACAUUGAUCAAAAAUAUAACAGAUCAAAGUCAACAAUCAACUCAGUAAACACCCCCAACAAUUUAAUCGUAAUACGAAUAGCAACAUUGUUAAACAACAAUUAACGGUCAAAAUCAUUGUUUAAUUGUAGAUAAUCAUGUAAAUCGUGAAGGAAGCCAGAAUUAAGUAGCAACAACAAUUAAGAAGCCACGAAAAUAAAAUCAGAUCAUGAUUAGGAUAAGAAAUUCAAUCAU
This is a long non-coding RNA of Panonychus citri (citrus red mite), 1931 nucleotides long. RefSeq lists it as uncharacterized. The transcript is spliced from 5 exons. The record is from RefSeq and is a predicted model, not a curated record. NCBI's taxonomy places the organism in Eukaryota, Metazoa, Arthropoda, Arachnida, Trombidiformes, Tetranychidae.